GCUCGAGGGACAACAAUAUACCUACCAUAAAGGACGGAUUUACCACCGAAAGACUUUUGCCGAUAUUAAUUGGACAAGAGACAAGCACAAUGACAAAUGUAUAUAUUGGUGACCCCGACGUGCAAACAUUGAAAC
Molecule: long non-coding RNA, 135 nt
Organism: Ctenocephalides felis (cat flea)
Lineage: Eukaryota; Metazoa; Arthropoda; Insecta; Siphonaptera; Pulicidae
Exons: 2
Source: RefSeq, a predicted model, not a curated record